Molecule: long non-coding RNA, 868 nt
Organism: Cavia porcellus (domestic guinea pig)
Lineage: Eukaryota; Metazoa; Chordata; Mammalia; Rodentia; Caviidae
Exons: 3
Source: RefSeq, a predicted model, not a curated record
AUUGAGCAAGGACUCCCUGCCACAGUCAAAUCCUUCUGAAAUGCUCCACAAAGAAAGACUGCAAAGGGCAGGGAUCAUUUUCACAACUAAAGGUCGCACUCUGGAGACAGAGAAGGAGCUUCUGCUUCCGAACUAAAAGGAGGCCAACAGUCCAAAGAACAAGUUGGACAAGUCCAGUUGAGACAAGUUAAAAUGAAGUACCUGAAUCGUAUCUCGGAAUUGUUAAUGGCAUUGAAGUUGUACACCUCUUGCAUGCGCUUUACGUGCCCCAGUGGAAGAGGAGCCUGAGAGCAAAACAAAGAAGUGUCAAGUAUCCUUUCAACAGGAUUCCUUGGCAGAAAGAAAGGAGCUGGAGAGUCUUAGCCAGAUGAACACACUAAGGACUUUAUAACAUAGAAGUCAGUCAGAUAAAAAUAAAGAUAGUUCUGUGCAAACUCAUUCUGGAUAAAGACGUUCUACUAGAAACACAGGGAAUUUACUCUGUGAGGUACCUAAAAGAGUUAAGUGAAAAUGAUUCUUAGACUUUUUAGUAAAAAAUGUUACCUCCUAGACCCGUUCCGGAGUCUCCUCUCAUACGUAAAUUCAUUCCCUCCUCCAGAUUAAAUUACAGUCCCUCGAGUUUUGCCUCCCCAACGGCUCCCAGCUUAUCUUUGUGUAUUUCCUCUGAGCUCACUUUCAAAUUAUCGGUUUCCUUCCAAAAUGGUAGCAUCUAACUUUUGGUAUCAGGGAUGGUGAAGCUUUUAGAGAUGAGUCCCCACACUGCAACCCCAAACUCACCCACCUAUUUAUCAUAAAGUGCCAACGCUGUAAUUAAAACUGAAUACUGAAAUUUUGGUUUAGAAAAAAAUAAAAACAAUUCAUACAUUCA